This 462-nucleotide ribosomal RNA is filed under the name uncultured bacterium. RNAcentral describes it as "partial 16S ribosomal RNA". It matches the Rfam family "Bacterial small subunit ribosomal RNA", at positions 28 to 507 of the family's 1533-position model. The record is from RNAcentral.
GACGAACGCUGGCGGCGUGCUUAACACAUGCAAGUCGAGCGGAAAGGCCCUUCGGGGUACUCGAGCGGCGAACGGGUGAGUAACACGUGAGUAACCUGCCACAGACUUUGGGAUAACCCUCGGAAACGGGGGCUAAUACCGGAUACGACCCAGAUUCGCAUGGGGUUUGUGUGGAAAGUUUUUCGGUGUUGGAUGGGCUCGCGGCCUAUCAGCUUGUUGGUGGGGUGAUGGCCUAGCAAGGCGACGACGGGUAGCCAGCCUGAGAGGGCGACCGGCCACACUGGAUGUGUGACACGCCCCGGGCUCCUACGGGGGGCAGCAGUGGGGAAUAGUGCACAAUGGGCGGAAGCCUGAUGCAGCGACGCUGCGUGAGGGAUGACGGCCUUCUAGUUGUAAACCUCUAUCAGCAGGGACGAAGCGUAAGUGACGGUACCUGAAGAAAAGGCGCCGGCCAACUACGUG